AACGAACGCUGGCGGCGUGCCUAACACAUGCAAGUCGUGCGAGAAAGUUCCUUCGGGAGCGAGUAAAGCGGCGCACGGGUGAGUAACACGUAGGUAACCUGCCUCCCAGUCUGGAACAACUAGAGGAAACUCUAGCUAAUGCCGGAUGAGACCACGAUCCCUUCGGGGGUUGCGGCCAAAGAUGGCCUCUACUUGUAAGCUAUCGCUGAGGGAUGGGCCUGCGGGCCAUUAGCUUGUUGGUGAGGUAACGGCUCACCAAGGCUGUGAUGGCUAGCUGGUCUGAGAGGAUGACCAGCCACACUGGGACUGAGACACGGCCCAGACUCCUACGGAGGCAGCAGUGGGGAAUAUUGCGCAAUGGGCGAAAGCCUGACGCAGCGACGCCGCGUGGGUGAUGAAGGCCU
Molecule: ribosomal RNA, 404 nt
Filed under: uncultured bacterium
Lineage: Bacteria
Description: bacterial SSU rRNA
Rfam family: Bacterial small subunit ribosomal RNA
Source: RNAcentral